UCUGUGCCAUGAAUCAUGCUAGAGGAUUACGUCACAAUACUGUAUACUUGAGCUGCUCAAUCUUGUUCUUCAGGGGGUCUGAGACUAGCACUAUCCGCUGCUUCUCUUCGGUGCAGGUCUCAUUAAUCGUCGUCUGUAUACCAACAUGGGGGGGAAAGCCAUUUUUGUGUCACUUUUGCUCGGAUACUUUCACGUAGCCAGCCCCAUGACAACCAGAGGUUCCACAACCACCGCAGGCCCCAUGAUGACCGGAGGUUCCACAACAACCGGAAGUUCCACUACAAACAGAGGUUCUACAACAGCCGGAGGUUUCGCAACCAUCGCAGGCCUCAUGACAACCGGAGGUUCCACAACAACAGGAGGUUCCACAACAACAGGAGGUUCCGCAACCACCGCAGGCCCCAUGACCACCGGAGGUUCCACAACAACCGGAGGUUCCACUAUAAACGGAAGUUCCACUACAACCGGAGGUUCCACUAUAAACGGAAGUUCCACUACAACCGGAGGUUCCACAACAACCGCAGGCCCCACAACAACCGCAGGCCCCACAACAACCGCAGGCCCCACAACAACCGCAGGCCCCACUACAACCGGAGGUUCCACAACAGCCGGAGGUUUCCCAACAACCAGAGUUUCCUCUACAAUUGGAGGUUCCACAACAACCGGAGGUUCUACAACAACCGGAGUUUCCACUAUAAACGGAAGUUCCACUACAACCGGAGGUUCCACAACAACCAGAGGUUCCAUAACAACCGCAGGCCAAACAACAACCGCAGGUUCCACUACAACCGGAAGUUCCACUACAACUGUAGGUUUUAUGUCAACUUCAGUUCCAGCGACGACCGGUUCUCCUGUCCUCCCAGUCAAGGCACAUGUACAAGUCAAGAUGAUCUCCUAUGGAGAAGUCAGCAACGGAACCAUAGCUUCACUCCUUGAUCAGUUCCUCAGUAGUCAGUUCCCUGCUGGAGAGGUUUACAGGCUCACGGUGAAAAGUAUCGAAAGAGUGCCGUAAUGAAUGCAGUUAAUUUCUCACACGUUUACAUCAAUGAGUUGCGAAAAGAAACACAACUGGACAUCCAAGAAAACGUCAAAGUAAAAUGUGAUCUGAAACGGUAUCGUGCAAAAAUGUUUAAUAAAAAUUAAAUAAAAACAAUGUAAAGAUAAAUGUUAAAUAAUGUAAAAUUGAGGUUGUUCUGUUGGUAUUUUUUUUACCCAAUUUACUUCUGAAAAUAUCAAUGUUAUCAUAUCCUUUGGUUAUAUAUAUAUAUUAUGAUAGCUUAUAUAUAUAUUAGCUUUUAUUUAGGUUUUUGCUGGAGGAUUGGUCCUCAAUGGCAGUCUUCAAGGGAUCUGGGGGUAGGUUUGGUUUACGACUGACGGGAGGAAUGAUGGAAGAUGCCUAGAUGGGUCAGAAACGUUUGACUUACUUCAUGAAUGGAUAUUUGGACUGUUUUGCGAUGUUUCGUCUAACUGCGCAGGAGACAUCAAUGAUGUUAAUGUCCCCGAACUUGCCUUUCUUCUAAAGCCCUUUUGGCAAAAAUAUAUACUAACCCUUUAUACUUUUAUUAAGCUUUUUCCACGCCCUAUUGAUCUCCGAUCCUGUUUGUAAGUGUUGUAUUAUAUUAUACAGUUCCUCCAGUUACACAGAUACUAAUAUGUCCAGCCAAUAUUAAUCCGAAUCGUUUUUUUAUCUGGGUUCUUAUCCCCGGUACCAUUUAGGGUCUUCCUUCGUGCACCUCAGCAGCUGCAUCACCUCAACAUGUCUCUUUCCCUUCUCCUACCUUCAAGUUCCUUGCAACAAUGCUUUCCCAUAUAAUGUCACCAUGUGGAUAAUCGCGAUUCAUUCAUAAACCAAGUGACAUCCAGAUUGAUCUUCAACAAAUUGUAAUAUUAUAACCGUUUUCCAUUUUUUUGUUAUCACUUAAACCGGCAACAAGGUAAUUAAUAAGAGACACCAAACUAUUAAAACCAUUUUUAUAUCU
This is a long non-coding RNA of Gadus chalcogrammus (walleye pollock), 1979 nucleotides long. RefSeq lists it as uncharacterized. Lineage: Eukaryota; Metazoa; Chordata; Actinopteri; Gadiformes; Gadidae. The transcript has 4 exons. The record is from RefSeq and is a predicted model, not a curated record.